UUGAUACUUGGGUUCAGGUCCUCACGCUU
This 29-nucleotide non-coding RNA is filed under the name Rattus norvegicus (Norway rat). Lineage: Eukaryota; Metazoa; Chordata; Mammalia; Rodentia; Muridae. The record is from RNAcentral.